Molecule: ribosomal RNA, 256 nt
Filed under: uncultured prokaryote
Description: partial 16S ribosomal RNA
Rfam family: Bacterial small subunit ribosomal RNA
Source: RNAcentral
AAUACAGAGGGGGCAAGCGUUGUUCGGAAUUACUGGGCGUAAAGGGCGCGUAGGCGGCCCGCUAAGUCGAACGUGAAAUCCCUGGGCUCAACCCAGGAACUGCGUCCGAUACUGGCAGGCUUGAAUCCGGGAGAGGGAUGUGGAAUUCCAGGUGUAGCGGUGAAAUGCGUAGAUAUCUGGAGGAACACCGGUGGCGAAGGCGGCAUCCUGGACCGGUAUUGACGCUGAUGCGCGAAAGCCAGGGGAGCAAACGGGA